This 1035-nucleotide ribosomal RNA is filed under the name uncultured bacterium. Its description in RNAcentral is "bacterial SSU rRNA". It matches the Rfam family "Bacterial small subunit ribosomal RNA", at positions 43 to 1075 of the family's 1533-position model. The record is from RNAcentral.
CGUGCUUAACACAUGCAAGUCGAACGGUAACAGAGAAGAGCUUGCUCUUUUGCUGACGAGUGGCGCACGGGUGCGUAACGCGUAUACAAUCUACCUUUUACGGGAGGAUAGCCUUUAGAAAUGAAGAUUAAUAUUCCAUAGUAAGUUGCCUUGGCAUCGAGAUAACUUUAAAGUUUCGGCGGUAAAAGAUGAGUAUGCGUUCUAUUAGCUAGAUGGUGUGGUAACGGCACACCAUGGCGACGAUAGAUAGGGGUCCUGAGAGGGGGAUCCCCCACACUGGUACUGAGACACGGACCAGACUCCUACGGGAGGCAGCAGUGAGGAAUAUUGGACAAUGGGCGAGAGCCUGAUCCAGCCAUGCCGCGUGCAGGAAGACUGCCCUAUGGGUUGUAAACUGCUUUUAUACGGGAAGAAACCUAGUCACGUGUGACUAGCUGACGGUACCGUAAGAAUAAGGAUCGGCUAACUCCGUGCCAGCAGCCGCGGUAAUACGGAGGAUCCAAGCGUUAUCCGGAAUCAUUGGGUUUAAAGGGUCCGUAGGUGGAUAAUUAAGUCAGGGGUGAAAGUCUGCAGCUCAACUGUAGAAUUGCCCUUGAUACUGGUUAUCUUGAAUUAUUGUGAAGUGGUUAGAAUAUGUAGUGUAGCGGUGAAAUGCAUAGAUAUUACAUAGAAUACCAAUUGCGAAGGCAGAUCACUAACAAUAUAUUGACACUGAUGGACGAAAGCGUGGGGAGCGAACAGGAUUAGAUACCCUGGUAGUCCACGCCGUAAACGAUGGUCACUAGCUGUUCGGACUUCGGUUUGAGUGGCUAAGAGAAAUUGAUAAGUGACCCACCUGGGGAGUACGUUCGCAAGAAUGAAACUCAAAGGAAUUGACGGGGGCCCGCACAAGCGGUGGAGCAUGUGGUUUAAUUCGAUGAUACGCGAGGAACCUUACCAGGGCUUAAAUGUAGAUUGCAUUAAGUAGAGAUACUUAUUUCUUCGGACUAUCUACAAGGUGCUGCAUGGUUGUCGUCAGCUCGUGCCGUGAGGUGU